AUGCAAGUACAAGGUGUGCAUGCAUCAAUGGCAUCUAGGAAGUGAUCGAAAGAAGAGAGGGGAAAUUGUCAAUAUUAGUUAUAAUGCAGCUCACUUUCCUUCUUUGCCUCUAUACACUCUUUAUUCUACGAUCAAAGCGUGAGUUUUCUUAACUAUCAUUUAAUUUGGUUCAUGCAUAUUUUCCUUCUUGGAUUAAAAAUCUCUUAUCAGUAUGCUACUUAACUUUCUAGUGUUUGGCUAUGAGAGAUCUGGUUUGGCAUUGGUUGAUGAGAAAUGUGAGGAAGUGUAUGAGUUACUGUAAAGUUAGUGGGUUUUAGGUAGUGUUAGUGUUAGUGUUUGGCUUAGUUAAUUGAAUUGUGUGAUAGUUGCUUUCAGCCAAAUUAUUGGCUUAGUUUUUCGAUAGUUGCUUUGAGUUGUGUGAUGCUUAAUUGGUUUUGUGAGGGGUGAACAAUGCUGAUUAUGGUGUCAUUGGUUGCUGAGAAAUGUGAGAAACUGGACAUAUACUGUUAAGUUUUUGGGUUUAGAUACUGCUAAUAUUUGGUUGAGUUGAUUGAGUUUUGGAACAUGUGCUUUGUGCCAAAUUAUUGGCUAAAGAUUUCAGAA
Molecule: long non-coding RNA, 603 nt
Filed under: Rosa chinensis
Lineage: Eukaryota; Viridiplantae; Streptophyta; Magnoliopsida; Rosales; Rosaceae
Description: sRNA RchiOBHm_Chr4g0409561
Source: RNAcentral